CCUACGGGUGGCAGCAGUAGGGGAUAUUGCUCAAUGGGGGGAACCCUGAAGCAGCGACGCCGCGUGGAGGAUGAAGGGUCUCGGAGUGUAAAGCCCUUUUUGUAGGGAAGAAAAUGACGGUAUCUAAAGAAGAAGCACCGUCUAACUACGUGCCAGCAGCCGCGGUAAUACGGAGGGGGCAAGCGUUAUCCGGAGUUACUGGGCGUAAAGGGCGCGUAGGCGGGUUUGCAAGUCAGAUGUGAAAGCCUAGGGCUUAACCCUAGAACUGCAUUUGAAACUGUGAUGCUGGAGUACGGGAGAGGUAGGUGGAAUUCGUGGUGUAGGGGUGAAAUGCGUAGAUAUCAAGAGGAAUACUGAUUGCGAAGGCGGCCUGCUGGAAUGCAACUGACGCUGAUGCGCGAAAGCGUGGGGAGCAAACAGGAUUAGAUACCCGAGUAGUC
This 440-nucleotide ribosomal RNA is filed under the name uncultured bacterium. RNAcentral's name for it is "partial 16S ribosomal RNA". It matches the Rfam family "Bacterial small subunit ribosomal RNA", at positions 338 to 795 of the family's 1533-position model. The record is from RNAcentral.